RNAcentral lists this ribosomal RNA (484 nucleotides) under uncultured bacterium. RNAcentral describes it as "partial 16S ribosomal RNA". It matches the Rfam family "Bacterial small subunit ribosomal RNA", at positions 29 to 507 of the family's 1533-position model. The record is from RNAcentral.
AUUGAACGCUGGCGGCAUGCUUUACACAUGCAAGUCGAACGGCAGCGCGGGCUUCGGCCUGGCGGCGAGUGGCGAACGGGUGAGUAAUACAUCGGAACGUGCCCAGUAGUGGGGGAUAGCUCGGCGAAAGCCGGAUUAAUACCGCAUACGACCUGAGGGUGAAAGCGGGGGAUCUUCGGACCUCGCGCUAUUGGAGCGGCCGAUGGCAGAUUAGCUAGUUGGUGGGGUAAAGGCCUACCAAGGCGACGAUCUGUAGCUGGUCUGAGAGGACGACCAGCCACACUGGGACUGAGAUACGGCCCAGACUCCUACGGGAGGCAGCAGUGGGGAAUUUUGGACAAUGGGCGAAAGCCUGAUCCAGCAAUGCCGCGUGUGUGAUGAAGGCCUUCGGGUUGUAAAGCACUUUUGGCGGGAACGAAAAGGACUGUGCCAAUACCACGGUUCGAUGACGGUACCCGCAGAAUAAGCACCGGCUAACUACGUG